RNAcentral lists this ribosomal RNA (256 nucleotides) under uncultured bacterium. RNAcentral's name for it is "partial 16S ribosomal RNA". It matches the Rfam family "Bacterial small subunit ribosomal RNA", at positions 521 to 776 of the family's 1533-position model. The record is from RNAcentral.
UAAUACGUAGGGGGCAAGCGUUGUCCGGAAUCAUUGGGCGUAAAGAGCGUGUAGGCGGUCUCGUCAGUCUGCUGUGAAAGUCCAGGGCUCAACCCUGGAAUGCCGGUGGAUACUGCGGGACUAGAGUCCGGAAGAGGUGAGUGGAAUUCCUGGUGUAGCGGUGAAAUGCACAGAUAUCAGGAGGAACACCAAUUGCGAAGGCAGCUCACUGGGACGGUACUGACGCUGAGACGCGAAAGCGUGGGGAGCAAACAGG